UACGGAGGGUGCAAGCGUUAAUCGGAAUCACUGGGCGUAAAGCGCACGUAGGCGGCCUGAUCAGUCAGCUGUGAAAGCCCCGGGCUUAACCUGGGAAUGGCAGUUGAUACUGUUAGGCUUGAGUCUGUCAGAGGGGGGUGGAAUUCCAGGUGUAGCGGUGAAAUGCGUAGAGAUCUGGAGGAACACCAGUGGCGAAGGCGGCCCCCUGGGGCAAGACUGACGCUGAGGUGCGACAGCGUGGGGAG
RNAcentral lists this ribosomal RNA (245 nucleotides) under uncultured bacterium. RNAcentral's name for it is "partial 16S ribosomal RNA". It matches the Rfam family "Bacterial small subunit ribosomal RNA", at positions 524 to 768 of the family's 1533-position model. The record is from RNAcentral.